CGGUGAAUACGUUCCCGGACCUUGCACACACCGCCCGUCAAGCCAUGAAGCUGGGUGUACCUAAAGUCGGUAACCGUAAGGAGCCGCCUAGGGUAAAACUAGUGACUGGGGCUA
Molecule: ribosomal RNA, 114 nt
Filed under: uncultured bacterium
Lineage: Bacteria
Description: partial 16S ribosomal RNA
Rfam family: Bacterial small subunit ribosomal RNA
Source: RNAcentral